CGCGCCCUGGACAUCCUGCUG
This 21-nucleotide unclassified non-coding RNA is filed under the name Mus musculus (house mouse). RNAcentral's name for it is "oocyte_clustered_small_RNA13951". Lineage: Eukaryota; Metazoa; Chordata; Mammalia; Rodentia; Muridae. The record is from RNAcentral.